GAAUGACUGAAAAAUGAUUCACGGAUUCAAUUAUAAUCUUUCUUACUUUCGAGAUAAGCAAAGCAUGCAAAGUCGUACUUACUUUACUCUUUCUACCGAUCAGGAGAAUACAAUUUCUCCUCUGUUUUAGUCAUUUUUUUUUCAGUUUUCAGUAAAAGUAAAUAGCAGAAUCGUGGCUAGGGAACUAUACUAGUGACCUACCUUAUUUUAUUGUAGAAAUUUUCGGGAUCAAU
RNAcentral lists this long non-coding RNA (233 nucleotides) under Gossypium raimondii (Peruvian cotton). RNAcentral describes it as "long non-coding RNA (GRAI_LNC004354)". The record is from RNAcentral. Lineage: Eukaryota; Viridiplantae; Streptophyta; Magnoliopsida; Malvales; Malvaceae.